Molecule: small RNA, 65 nt
Filed under: Arabidopsis thaliana (thale cress)
Lineage: Eukaryota; Viridiplantae; Streptophyta; Magnoliopsida; Brassicales; Brassicaceae
Description: ATSL097820
Source: RNAcentral
AAUUUUAAGUUAUAGUUGUUUUGUAAAUAUUGUUUCUUUUGUUUAGUGUUUAAGAUUAUAUAAUU